UACAGAGGUCUCAAGCGUUGUUCGGAUUCAUUGGGCGUAAAGCGCGGGCAGGCGGCCCGCUCAGUCGGCCGUGAAAGCGCCGGGCUCAACUCGGCGAGGUCGGGCGAUACUGGCGGGCUCGAGGCUGGUAGAGGGCGGUGGAAUUCCGGGUGUAGUGGUGGAAUGCGUAGAGCUCCGGAGGAACACCAGUGGCGAAGGCGGCCGCCUGGGCCAGUCCUGACGCUGAGCCGCGAAAGCGUGGGGAGCGAUCCGG
RNAcentral lists this ribosomal RNA (253 nucleotides) under uncultured bacterium. RNAcentral's name for it is "partial 16S ribosomal RNA". It matches the Rfam family "Bacterial small subunit ribosomal RNA", at positions 524 to 776 of the family's 1533-position model. The record is from RNAcentral.